Molecule: transfer RNA, 72 nt
Filed under: Lignipirellula cremea
Lineage: Bacteria; Pseudomonadati; Planctomycetota; Planctomycetia; Pirellulales; Pirellulaceae
Description: Planctomycetes bacterium Pla85_3_4 tRNA-Gly
Rfam family: tRNA
About the family: Transfer RNA (tRNA) molecules are approximately 80 nucleotides in length. Their secondary structure includes four short double-helical elements and three loops (D, anti-codon, and T loops).
Source: RNAcentral
GCGCCUAUAGUGUAGCGGUAACACGGGAGCUUCCCAAGCUCCAAUCAUGGGUUCGAUCCCCAUUAGGCGCUC